This 652-nucleotide ribosomal RNA is filed under the name uncultured organism. RNAcentral's name for it is "bacterial SSU rRNA". It matches the Rfam family "Bacterial small subunit ribosomal RNA", at positions 1 to 663 of the family's 1533-position model. The record is from RNAcentral.
GGCUUAGAGUUUGAUCAUGGCUCAGGAUAAACGCUGGCGGCGCACAUAAGACAUGCAAGUCGAACGGACUUAACCAUUAGUUUACUAUUGGAGCGGUUAGUGGCGGACUGGUGAGUAACACGUAAGCAACCUGCCUAUCAGAGGGGAACAACAGUUAGAAAUGACUGCUAAUACCGCAUAUGCCAAGAGUAUCGCAUGAUACAAUUGGGAAAGGAGAAAUCCGCUGAUAGAUGGGCUUGCGUCUGAUUAGAUAGUUGGUGUGGUAACGGCAUACCAAGUCGACGAUCAGUAGCCGGACUGAGAGGUUGAACGGCCACAUUGGGACUGAGAUACGGCCCAGACUCCUACGGGAGGCAGCAGUCGGGAAUAUUGCGCAAUGGAGGAAACUCUGACGCAGUGACGCCGCGUGCAGGAAGAAGGUUUUCGGAUUGUAAACUGCUUUAGACAGGGAAGAAAAAAGACAGUACCUGUAGAAUAAGCUCCGGCUAACUACGUGCCAGCAGCCGCGGUAAUACGUAGGGAGCAAGCGUUAUCCGGAUUUAUUGGGUGUAAAGGGUGCGUAGACGGGAAAUUAAGUUAGUUGUGAAAUCCCUCGGCUCAACUGAGGAACUGCAACUAAAACUGGUUUUCUUGAGUGUUGGAGAGGAAAGUG